GAAAUGAAAGAGCAGAACUGGAGUUUAAUAUUGGAGGUGAAUUCUGCAUUUAACACUGUUGAAAUAAUUGAAUAACGGUUUUAACGUCAAACUGAGGUUUAAUCAUGGAAUCAUUAACCUGUGAAGGAGACUGGCUUAUAUCAGAAUCAUGUGUUUCAUUAAUGUAAUAGAAACGUUGCUCACAAGGGUGUGUUUAUCACACAAGUCCCACAGUUAGUAAGAAGGGAACCAAUCUCAGUAAUAUAAACUGCAUAGCUGGUGAUUUGAUCGCAUUUGGAGUUCUAAGUCUGAUUCCUCACACUAUCAGAUUUAGUCAAAGUAGCAUCAUUUCUCUGAGGUGAAGCGCAGAGGUGUAAAAAAAGUUAAAUUCAAAUACUAGUGUUCCUCAAAAUGGACUUAAUGUACUCAAUGGAUGUUGAUUUUUUUUUUUAAAGAUGUGUUUCCAAAGUAAAUGACCAGUUCAGAGCUGUGAAAGGAGUGAUGGUGAUGUUGACCAGGAGGGUAAGGAUGCUGAGCAGGCCAGGAAACAUGAACCAUAACAAGGUGAUCACAAUGACACAGUUCAAAACAACUGUAGUUUUAAUAGUAAUAGUCACUAACAGUUUAGUGAUGUAAUAAAUAAAAGCAGAAAAGGGACAUAUUUUAACUUUAAUCAUUAAAAUAUCAGGUUUUCUUGACUGGAAA
Xyrichtys novacula (pearly razorfish) is the source of this 684-nucleotide non-coding RNA. The record is from the annotation of a GenBank genome assembly. NCBI's taxonomy places the organism in Eukaryota, Metazoa, Chordata, Actinopteri, Labriformes, Labridae.